RNAcentral lists this ribosomal RNA (160 nucleotides) under Riccardoella reaumuri. RNAcentral's name for it is "5.8S rRNA". It matches the Rfam family "5.8S ribosomal RNA". From Rfam's summary of the family: 5.8S ribosomal RNA (5.8S rRNA) is a component of the large subunit of the eukaryotic ribosome. It is transcribed by RNA polymerase I as part of the 45S precursor that also contains 18S and 28S rRNA. The record is from RNAcentral. Lineage: Eukaryota; Metazoa; Arthropoda; Arachnida; Trombidiformes; Ereynetidae.
UUAACACUGGCUUCCGUGGAUUACUUUGUCGGGCGGCUGAUGAAGAGCGUAACAAGACGCGAAAGAGGUGGUGACGUGUAGACCAUGAUCCACUCGUACUCUAACGGGCAAUCUGUUAUGACUCUCCUUUGGGAGUCUUAACAUCUCUGCGUGAGGUUGG